This 514-nucleotide long non-coding RNA is filed under the name Triticum aestivum (bread wheat). RNAcentral's name for it is "long non-coding RNA (TAES_LNC005947)". The record is from RNAcentral. Lineage: Eukaryota; Viridiplantae; Streptophyta; Magnoliopsida; Poales; Poaceae.
UUACCACUGCUUUUCACUUGCCAUGAAGUAAUUUCUGGUGUUUGGCUCAUACAAAUUUCUAGCUUUCCACAAAUAAAAUGGAACAGACGGACACAGCAGCAUUUCACUAAAAUCCAACUCUUUAUUAGGUACUCGCCAAUUACCACCUACAAAUGGGAACAGUAAGGUGCCCAAACAGAUUUGCUCCCUAAAACCCGAAUCAUCGACUAAACAAGAGUACACCAAAGUCCAGAAAAUGGAGACCCUAAAAGUUUCAAUUCAGAACACAAACAAAUGAAGCCAUCACCAGUUCCCCAGUGCUCAUUCACUCCAGUAUCCAUCUUCCUUCUCAUCCUCCUCCUCGCCCUCUGCUUCACCAAUCUCCAUUGACGCCUCCUUGAACCGCUUGACAUUCUCCAAUGCCGCCUUCCGGAACAACCCAAUGUCCACUGCACCUGCAACCAUAUGGUAUCCCCUGUGCUUGAGCUGCUCAGCUGGGUCAUUGGGCAUCGCAAACCCACCCAAGUAAGCCGCA